RNAcentral lists this long non-coding RNA (2950 nucleotides) under Homo sapiens (human). RNAcentral describes it as "non-protein coding lnc-PAWR-13:1". Lineage: Eukaryota; Metazoa; Chordata; Mammalia; Primates; Hominidae. The record is from RNAcentral.
AAUCUUUAUUUCAAAGUUACCUAGGUUCACUCAAAAGACAGGCUGGGGAGACACGUGGACUCAGAAGAUAUCAAGUUCCCUUUAUUACAGUAUUCUUAUAAAGGAAAUAAACUUUAACAGGGCAUUUGACAUCCUAAUUUAUCCACCUUCUGAAAUAUGAAGAACUAAAACCUGCCCUUCCUGGAUUUUUCUUAGAACACGUGAAGGUACAAAUGUAAGGAAGGUAUUCUAAGGGAGUAGAAAUGAACGAAUAUUCUCCAUUCUAAAAAUAUUCCAGACUUUGUAAUUUUCCUGCAGAACUUAAGAUUUCAGGCUUUCUGAGGAAAGAAUGGGCAUGAUUUGGGGCAGAAAUAGAUAAGUAAAGAGGCCUGGACAGGAUUCACUUCACGUUCUUAACAGGAAAGUAGACGAACUUAUAAAAACCUUUUAAUUUGCAAAGACGUGGAGAUAACCAGCAAACAAGAUUUUUUUAAAAAUGAAAUUUAGUCUGGGCGUGGUGGCCCACUCCUGUAAUCCCAGCACUUUGGGAGGCCGAGGCAGGCGGAUCACUUGAGGUCAGGAGUUCGAGACCAGCCUGGCCAACAUGAAGAAACCUCAUCUCUACUAAAAUAUAAAAAUUAGUCAGGUGUGGUGGCAGGCACCUGUAAUCCCAGAUAGUCGGGAGGCUGAGGCAGGAGAAUAGCUUGAACCCGGGAGGCAGAGGUUGCAGUGAGCCAAGAUUGUGCUACUGCACUCCAGCCUGGGCUACAAGAGCGAAACUCUGUCUCAAAAAAAAAAAAAAAAAAAAAAAAAAAAAAGAAAGAAAUGCAAACGAUUUGUGAGUUGGUCAUGCAUAGUUACAUAUUUAGUGAAAGUACAAUUGAAAAUAGAAUAAUCUCAGAUGCAUAAGAUUCUUAUUAAAAUCUUAAUCAAAAUCCAGAGAUUUUGGAUCUACUUCCAGGAGAUCAUGGCUGAGGCUAACACAUAUACAUAGAUACGAAUUUUUAUUUUAUAAUUGACUAUUUCUCUCUCUCUCUUUUAUGAGAUAGGGUCUUGCUCUGUUGUUAGGCUGGAGAGCAGUGGCGAGAUCAUAGCUCAUUGCAGCCUUGAGCUCCUGGGCUCGCAUGAUCCUACUGGUUUCAGCCUUCUCAAGUAUUUGGAUUACAGGUGUGAGCCACCGCACCUGGCCUUGUUCUCUUUUUUAAGUUUUUAAUUUUCCAUUACUAGCUACCAAUAUAAUCCUAAAGGGUAGAAUUGGACAGAUAUCGGCUCAGAUCUUCUUCGUUUUUCAGUUUCUUCUUUUGUAAAAUGAGGAUAAUCAGACCAAAUCUGUAAGGUUUUUAUGAGUAUGAAAUAAUUUAUGCAAAAAAAUUAGCAUAGUGUCUGGCAUAUUAAUUUGUUCCAUUGCUCCAUUGUUCAAUUGAUCCACUGGCAUAUUAGUUUGUUCCAGAGAUCAGUGGAUCAAUGGAACAGACUACCAGUGGAUCAAUCAAUUGAUUGAUCAAUUGAUUUAUCCACACAUCUCUAAUAGCACUUGGCCUCCCAGAAUUGUCCAGAAUGUGGAAAUUUUUUGUUUCCAACUCAAGUCACGUCCCAGAAGCUUUUUCUGAUUAUCUGAUUUUGUUCAGUUUAGGAGCUCAUCUCCCUGGAAAACUUUGAAGUUUUGUUUGCUCUGUUGAUACAACUUGGGUAAAACUGUUGAUAUUAAUGAUGUCCUAACUUCUGUAUUUCAUUGAGUCAGCCAGACUAAAAUUGUACACACACACACACACACACACACACACACACACACACAUAUACACACAUUAUUACAGGCACGUAUUCAAAAAAUUAAUUUUUCCUUUGCUGUGAGAAACACCAGAUGUGACACACAUUAUUACUUAUCUCUGUACAGGAUAGUUGAAGAUAUUUGAGGACUUAUGGCUUACUGUAGAAUUUAAAGGAAAUGAUUGAGUUAAAUGAAAAUAGCUAAGUACAAUAGCUCCAUCAUUACAUUAAAGGUAUAUUGCUCAACUAUGUUUCUGCUUAAUUUUUGUCCAGUUGUAGAGGUGGGAUAUUGUUGCUGGUCAUUCAGACUGAUGUUCAGCUCCUACUUUCAAGUGAUUACACAGUUGUUUCUAGCCUUUGUGUGUACUGAUAGCUGGAUCCUCCUUCACUUCUUGAGUUGCUAAAUAGUUUUCAUUUUACUCCAGCUUAUAAUUGUACAUAAAAAAUUUCUACAUAUAGUUUGAAAGACAUAAAAGACUAUAGGAACAAUAAGACUUUUGCUAAACAGGGUCAACAUUUAGAAAAUGUUCUUAAAGUUACCCAGCUUUUUUUUAAGGGAAGCAAAGAAUGUUUCUAUAAUUUCCAAACCAAUCCUCUAUAGACAUAAAAUACCCUUGGAAGGUGUUCAUCAGAAAAGUAAGAGCUAUAAGCUUUUAACUCUUACCAGCCAAUGAUAUCAUCCCUGUUAAUUCUUAUUUUUUAAUCAAAAAAAGAUUGUAAGAAAUAUAGACAAAGUUCUUUUUACUUAGUGCAUACCACUGUGAAAUUUAAAAAAAUCAUAAAAUACAAAAAUGUUGUGGGUAAUUGAGGAUCUAAUAUACUGACAAAGACUAAGGGAUUGCCUAGUGUUUUAUUUUUAUUCCUUCAUAUCUUGAGAGAUAAUAUUGUUUGUAAAUAGCAAACCUAAGAAUAGUUACUUGGUUCUUGAAAAUUCAUAUUUAUGGAAAUAAAAUGCUUAUCAGGAGGCAUCAUUUUGUGGAUGAAAAAAUUAGCUGAUUAUUCAGUCCUGGCUAAUGUGAUGACUUCAUUUUUUGUUUUUUAUUUUUUUGAGACACAGUAUGGUGCAAUUUCUGCUCACUGCAACUUCCAUCUCUUGGCUUCAAGCAAUUCUGCCUCAGCCUCCUGAGUAGUCAGGAUUACAGGCACCCACCAACACACCUGACUAAUUUUUGUAUUUUCAGUAGAGACGGAGUUUCACCAUGUU